GACGAACGCUGGCGGCGUGCUUAACACAUGCAAGUCGAACGGAAAGGCCCUGCUUGCAGGGUACUCGAGUGGCGAACGGGUGAGUAACACGUGGGUGAUCUGCCCUGCACUUCGGGAUAAGCCUGGGAAACUGGGUCUAAUACCGGAUAGGAGCCAUUUUUAGUGUGAUGGUUGGAAAGUUUUUUCGGUGUAGGAUGAGCUCGCGGCCUAUCAGCUUGUUGGUGGGGUAAUGGCCUACCAAGGCGGCGACGGGUAGCCGGCCUGAGAGGGUGGACGGCCACAUUGGGACUGAGAUACGGCCCAGACUCCUACGGGAGGCAGCAGUGGGGAAUAUUGCACAAUGGGCGCAAGCCUGAUGCAGCGACGCCGCGUGGGGGAUGACGGCCUUCGGGUUGUAAACUCCUUUCGCUAGGGACGAAGCUUUUUGCGACGGUACCUAGAGAAGAAGCACCGGCUAACUACGUG
RNAcentral lists this ribosomal RNA (465 nucleotides) under uncultured bacterium. RNAcentral describes it as "partial 16S ribosomal RNA". It matches the Rfam family "Bacterial small subunit ribosomal RNA", at positions 28 to 507 of the family's 1533-position model. The record is from RNAcentral.